Molecule: ribosomal RNA, 343 nt
Filed under: Psittacula krameri (Rose-ringed parakeet)
Lineage: Eukaryota; Metazoa; Chordata; Aves; Psittaciformes; Psittacidae
Description: partial small subunit ribosomal RNA
Source: RNAcentral
CCCAACACAUAAAACAUCCGCCCGAGAACUACGAGCACAAACGCUUAAAACUCUAAGGACUUGGCGGUGCCCUAAACCCACCUAGAGGAGCCUGUUCUAUAAUCGAUAACCCACGAUACACCCAACCACUUCUUGCCAAAGCAGCCUACCAUACCGCCGUCAUAGCCCACCUCCAUGAGAGCACAGCAGCGAGCCCAAUAGCCUAUCAACCCCGCUAACCAAGACAGGUCAAGGUAUAGCCCAACGAAGUGGAAGAAAUGGGCUACAUUUCCUAAAAUAAGAAAACCACGAAAAGGGGCCUGAAACCUGCCCCUAGAAGGCGGAUUUAGCAGUAAAGAGAGAC